UACGUAGGGGGCAAGCGUUAUCCGGAUUCACUGGGUGUAAAGGGAGCGUAGACGGCCAUGCAAGCCAGGGGUGAAAGCCCGGGGCCCAACCCCGGGACUGCCCUUGGAACUGUGCGGCUAGAGUGCGGGAGGGGCAGGCGGAAUUCCUGGUGUAGCGGUGAAAUGCGUAGAUAUCAGGAGGAACACCGGUGGCGAAGGCGGCCUGCUGGACUGCGACUGACGUUGAGGCCCGAAAGCGUGGGGAGCAAACAGG
This 253-nucleotide ribosomal RNA is filed under the name uncultured bacterium. RNAcentral describes it as "partial 16S ribosomal RNA". It matches the Rfam family "Bacterial small subunit ribosomal RNA", at positions 524 to 776 of the family's 1533-position model. The record is from RNAcentral.